Molecule: long non-coding RNA, 231 nt
Filed under: Elaeis guineensis (African oil palm)
Lineage: Eukaryota; Viridiplantae; Streptophyta; Magnoliopsida; Arecales; Arecaceae
Description: long non-coding RNA (EGUI_LNC006291)
Source: RNAcentral
AGGGAGGCGACUCCAACGGCAACAUCUUGACAACCGACGACAUCGGACACCACUCGCUGGCAACCCGAUUAACCAAACAAACAAAAAAAGGAAAAGAGGAAAAGAUCGUCGGAUCCUGUCUUGACCGGUGUUUUCCCCUUGCUUUUCGAUGGCUAACGAUGACCAGCGGUUGGGAGACGGUAGCAGCCCACUGAUUUAUCGAUUUUGGGACUGCUGUCGGUCGGAUUUGCA